AUGGUAAAAGUCAAACCACGGAUAAUUUCAGAAUCCUCACAUCUAUUCCUUCUGCCUUUUCUCAGGGCCACUCUGUUCUUGCAAAUAGCUACAACCAAGGCUGAAGGAAAGAGCUGGCACACCACUAGAAGAACUUCAGGCAUUGAAUGCUCUUUCCUGAAUUCAACAGUCCAUCUGGAUAGAGUUGAGGUAGAACCCAUGACACUACUGGGAAAGUCAACACAAGGAUAUAAGACUAGGAAGGCAUUCCUCCUGACCAGCAAAGAUUGAUCUUCACUGGGAAGCGCUGGAAGAUGGAUGCAACCUGUCUGACAACAACACCCAGAAAGAGGAUAUUUUGUUCCUGAUAUUCCAUUUUUGAAAGAUGCUGGAGAAUCACAUGGACAUGUCGACCACUAAGACUACUACCCUUGAGGCAGAGCCCAGUGGCACCAUUGAGAAUGUCAUGGAAAAGAUCCCAGACAAGGAGGCAUUCCUCCUGAACAUCAGAGAUUGAUCUUCACCCAGAAGAAGCUGGACAAUGGAUGUACCUUGUCUGACUACAACAUCCUGAAAGAAUCCACUCUGCACCUGGCCUUGCAAAGGAGGGUGUGUGUGUGUCUAAAUCUUCCUUGUUUUAAACUUUCAAGAAAUUUCAUUGUGUUUUUCUUUCAAUAAAGUUGUUGCACUCCCCCAAAAAGUAAAAAUAAAAAUAUAUUCAGCGUCU
RNAcentral lists this long non-coding RNA (706 nucleotides) under Dasypus novemcinctus (nine-banded armadillo). RNAcentral describes it as "lncRNA (ENSDNOG00000051961.1)". The record is from RNAcentral. Lineage: Eukaryota; Metazoa; Chordata; Mammalia; Cingulata; Dasypodidae.